UACGGGGGGGGCUAGCGUUGUUCGGAAUUACUGGGCGUAAAGGGCUCGCAGGCGGCCAACUAAGUCGGACGUGAAAUCCCUCGGCUUAACCGGGGAACUGCGUCUGAUACUGGAUGGCUCGAAUCCGGGAGAGGGAUGCGGAAUUCCAGGUGUAGCGGUGAAAUACGUAGAUAUCUGGAGGAACACCGGUGGCGAAGGCGGCAUCCUGGACCGGUAUUGACGCUGAGGAGCGAAAGCCUGGGGAG
Molecule: ribosomal RNA, 245 nt
Filed under: uncultured bacterium
Lineage: Bacteria
Description: partial 16S ribosomal RNA
Rfam family: Bacterial small subunit ribosomal RNA
Source: RNAcentral